GAUCAUGGCUCAGAUUGAACGCUAGCGGGAUGCCUUACACAUGCAAGUCGAACGGCAGCGCGGACUUCGGUCUGGCGGCGAGUGGCGAACGGGUGAGUAAUGUAUCGGAACGUGCCUAGUAGCGGGGGAUAACUACUCGAAAGAGUAGCUAAUACCGCAUACGCCCUACGGGGGAAAGCGGGGGAUCGAAAGACCUCGCGCGAUUAGAGCGGCCGAUACCUGAUUAGCUAGUUGGUGAGGUAAAGGCUCACCAAGGCAACGAUCAGUAGCUGGUCUGAGAGGACGACCAGCCACACUGGAACUGAGACACGGUCCAGACUCCUACGGGAGGCAGCAGUGGGGAAUUUUGGACAAUGGGCGAAAGCCUGAUCCAGCAAUGCCGCGUGCAGGAUGAAGGCCUUCGGGUUGUAAACUGCUUUUGUACGGAACGAAACGGUCCUUUCUAAUAAAGAGGGCUAAUGACGGUACCGUAAGAAUAAGCACCGGCUAACUACGUG
Molecule: ribosomal RNA, 497 nt
Filed under: uncultured bacterium
Lineage: Bacteria
Description: bacterial SSU rRNA
Rfam family: Bacterial small subunit ribosomal RNA
Source: RNAcentral